UUCCCUGCCCUCAGACCGGACGGAAGCUUCCCCCAAACCUCCUUCCCCUCGGCGGCUGAAGGCAAUAAACAUGGCGGCAGCGGACAGGCUGCAGCUUGGGGGCAUCCAGGACCUGCUUCGUGCAUCCCCGACUCUCCUUUCCAAUCAGAUGGAGGAAGCUCACCCGAUGGCAAGCAUGACUGCAGCCCCAAAUCAUCUCUCCUUGUAAGUAUCUGAAUAAUAUUUUGUUGGUGGUUCUUUGUCCGGAAUGAAAUUCCUUGUCAUAGUAUAGCAGUAGUCGUUGGUGUUGGUUCUUGACUGCCGUUUCUGCCAAUUUUUGGUAGGUGCAACGGGAGCAAAGAAUUUGACAUAGAUUGGGGAGAUUACCUAGCCAAUGAUGCACGAAUGCUAACUAUGGGUGGCGUUUCUGCUGGUCCUUUGCUUCCUUUGCUUGUUCAAGGGAUUGAGUGUUCCACAUCCCAGCUUGCUAGUUCAAGCCAGCCAAAUCAUGUGGAUGUUGAGCGCCAAACAAAUGAUGUAGAUGGUGACC
Molecule: long non-coding RNA, 529 nt
Filed under: Hordeum vulgare
Lineage: Eukaryota; Viridiplantae; Streptophyta; Magnoliopsida; Poales; Poaceae
Description: long non-coding RNA (HVUL_LNC011171)
Source: RNAcentral